ACCCAGUCUCGUCAGAUCCCGGAAGUCAAGCAACAUUGGGUCAAGUUAGUAUUUGGAUGGGUGACCGCCUGGGAAUACUUGAUGCUGUAGACAA
RNAcentral lists this ribosomal RNA (94 nucleotides) under Acartia pacifica. Lineage: Eukaryota; Metazoa; Arthropoda; Copepoda; Calanoida; Acartiidae. The record is from RNAcentral.